AUCGUGCACGCAAGCCAAUGAGUACACGCAGAAGGCGGUUCUUGCGAAGAUUGGCAGUCAAUUUAAUCCAACCCCUGACGAAUUCUGGGUGACGCGCUUAGGUUUGGACUGGAUGGCUUUCCCUGUUAACCAGAAUCCUUUGCUAGCCUUGAUUGCUAAGCCAAUGGCUGGGCGGUGGGGGCGGGUGCAAGGUGACGGACACCGCUCUGGACGAAUGGCGGGGAAGGAAAUGAAGGUGCCCAGUUUUGGUGGGAGCCAGUGGAAGAGGAACUGCAUUGGGGCGGAGCCGGCCGCCAAACGCGAGCGGGGAUUAGCCGCAGCGAGAGUGAAUGGCAGUCGACGUGGGCAGUGCCGACCGGCUGCGGGGAAUUCGGCCUGACGUCUGGGUUAGCGCCCCAGGAGCCUGGUUGGGUCGUGGACAGUGUCACCGAUGACAAACUGACCAGGCCACUGGGAUCCUCCAUGUCCCUGCCUGACUUCAACCAGAAACACCUGAGCAUCUGCAAGAUAAGGGGGUUAGCAGGACACUCACCGCCGGCCUACGUCCACACCAGCCCCAGCAUCCCUCUGUGGGACCCGCACCUCAUAGACGGCCAGGUCCGUGCAGGCGUAGGGGAUGAUGCCGAGCAUGUUGGGCAGGUAGCCGCGGUACAGGGCACGGGUGCCCUCCUGCUUCAGGAUCUGCCUUGCACAGUCCAGCAGCCCCUUGUACUGGCCCGUCCGGCGCAAGGUCAGCCGCGUCUUCAGCACCUGGGAAGGGUGAAGAGGGAGGGGGUUCAUCCGAUGGAAAGCUCUCAUCGGCCCUCAGCAGCAGCCGGCGUUUCUGUUCUCUAGCUGAGGAAGCAGAAGCUGAGGAGUCCAGAGAGCAGAGGUUCGAACCCAGAGCCACGUGAUCCCUUGGCCUGUGCGUGCCCUCCACCCAGGAUUCAGAAGCCCCGGUGCUGACAGAGGCAAGAGGAUAAGGGAAGUGGCGUGGACUGAGCGGAGUCACAGCCUAUACCCGGCAGACACCAGAUGUAAAGCCACAGGGGGUGCAGACCCUAGGUGGCCAGGUUUGCCAAUUUUCCAAGAGAAGGCAGACAUAAUUUGUAUGAAAUACUCCCAACAUCAAAAUAUUGGCAGCUCUACAGUUGCCUGUAAGACCAAACACCAAGUUCGAUAGGCAGAAUUCUGAGGUGGCCCCCAAGUUUCCCACCCGAUAUGUAUGCUUCAUAUAAUGCCCGCCCCCUGACCUUGAGAGUGUGCUAGGCCUGUGACUAUGAUGGGGUGUCACUCCCCUCGUCAAGUUACAUGACGAAGGUGAAGGGAUUGUGCAGAUGUAUUGGAGGUCCUGAAGCGCUUGAUUUUAAGUGAAGCAAGACCGAUUUCCUAGGUGGGCCUGACCAAAUCAGGUGAUCCUUUUAAAUGAGUCUGUUGCCAGAGACCGAAGAAAUCAGAGUUAUGGGGAGCAUCCAGGACGCCCUUCAGUUGGUCUUAAAUGAGCAGACUGUUGUGGAGAGGACCACCUGGCAGGGACAGUACAUGGCCUCUAGGAGCUGAGAACCCCAGUCCUACAACCAUAAGAAACUGAAUCCUGCCAGCAACCAAGGAACUUGGCAGAGGACCCAGGCCUCAGGUUCACUGUAUCCCAGCCAACACCUUGAUUUUGGCCUGAUGAAACCCUGAGCAGAGGACCUGACUAGCCAGUGCCCAGGCAUGACCCACAGACAAAGGAGAUAAUAAAUCUGUAUCAUUUUAAGCUACUGAGUCUGGCAAUUUGUUACACAGCAAUAGAACAAGUACACUAUAAGACGAAAUUUAACUGGUCAAGGGCAAGAAUUAUAUGGAAAAAAAAAAACAACUUUAAAAAGACCAUUAAAGUCCAUAAAAGGAGACUGGAACCCAUGGAAAUGAUCUUGGACACCAGACCCAGCCUCAUAUAGAUGGCAGGCACCUCUAAGCUUCUUUAUAAAUCGAAUACCAUCCCAGAAAAAAAAAAA
Molecule: long non-coding RNA, 1979 nt
Organism: Lontra canadensis (Northern American river otter)
Lineage: Eukaryota; Metazoa; Chordata; Mammalia; Carnivora; Mustelidae
Exons: 2
Source: RefSeq, a predicted model, not a curated record